CAAUGAAGAAAGUAUGGUAACGUGUAUAUAAAUUGAAUUGGGUCUUUAAGUCUGUCCUCUUUGAUACCAUUUGGCUUUGAUUUGAGGGCAUGGUUCUGCAACAAAACA
This is a small nucleolar RNA of Rhododendron vialii, 108 nucleotides long. RefSeq annotates it as small nucleolar RNA snoR100. The transcript has a single exon. The record is from RefSeq and is a predicted model, not a curated record. Lineage: Eukaryota; Viridiplantae; Streptophyta; Magnoliopsida; Ericales; Ericaceae.